GGAGAAGCUAACGUCUGAGUUGGAUCUUGGUGGGAAGAGGAGGCUGUUGCCGGAGAAGGUGGGACGAGGCCCUCCCAGCAGUGUGGAUGCAAAGCCUCGGGCCUCGGGGAACACUAGGAGAAGGGCCCGGCGGGAUGCUGGGGUGACCAGCGGAAGAGGGUGCCCCGGCCCCUCUCUAAGGCUUCGCCAGCCUGGAUGGGACAUCAAGGCUUGGAAAAGAGACUUAAAGACUGGACCCCUGACCUUUGGGGCGUUGCUUGGGUCUCCCCGAUGUGAAGCAGGACCCCUGAACCUUUGUCUGUCUCAAGAGUCCUCCUCAGCACUCAGAAUCAGCUCGGCACCACCUCCUCCGAGAAGCCUUCCUGGAUCAACCCCUUCCCCAGCAGCAUUCAACGGCCUCCUCUGGGCAGCCCCUGGCCUCGCACAUGCUCAGGACACUGUGUUUCAGAGGCUGCCACGUGCUGGGCUUCCCAGUGGACUUUCUCACGCUCCUUCCUUCCCCAUAGGGAGGAGCCUGAGGCCCCCCACUGCCCCCUGAAAGGAACUCAGAGGGAGAGCCAAAGGGUGACGCAGAGAGUGUCUUUGCCCAGCCGGGAUUCGGUCAAGGAGAUGUGCUAGGGGUUACAUGUCCUGGGGGUGCGUGUGGUGCCAGGUCCACGGUGGGGGCUCGGCCAAGAGCAUGAGUAGGUAGGGGGGUCGAGGUGGGCUGGCCUGGCCCAGCAGGUCUCUGUUUGGAGAAACAAAUGCUGAGGAGGUGGGGGGUCGGGGGGACGCAUGCCAGGCAGGGCCAGGACCGCGUGGAUGGUCUGCGCGGAGUGCCCUGGGUGAGGGGUCCUUUUGCCAGGCCCCUUAGGGAUGGCUGUUCCCCUUGGCGUUCAUCGUGGCCGGGCCCUGAAUUUGCUGGGGUGUCUCCACAGCUCCUCUAACCACACAGCCACCUGUGGGCUCGGUGUGGGUACCAUUCCCAUUUGAUGGAGGAGAAAACGGAGGCGAGCAGAGGCCUCAUGACCUGCCAAGGUCAAGGCCAGGACCAGAGCCCUGCAGCGUCCGACCGCAGAGCCCACGCCCAGGGCCGCCAUGCCCCCUGGUGCCUUGCUUUACCUCUGCCCAUCUCGGGGAACAGAGGUCCCAAGAGGGCAGCAGCUUCACUGGGGCUUGGAUAUUUAAAUGUCCUAGAACUGAAUAGUUUGUGGAUAGGUAUUAACAGUUUGUAUUAAUAAAGCAAUUCGCAUUACUCACAG
Molecule: long non-coding RNA, 1241 nt
Filed under: Sus scrofa (pig)
Lineage: Eukaryota; Metazoa; Chordata; Mammalia; Artiodactyla; Suidae
Description: lncRNA (ENSSSCG00055024643.1)
Source: RNAcentral